RNAcentral lists this ribosomal RNA (253 nucleotides) under uncultured bacterium. RNAcentral describes it as "partial 16S ribosomal RNA". It matches the Rfam family "Bacterial small subunit ribosomal RNA", at positions 524 to 776 of the family's 1533-position model. The record is from RNAcentral.
UACGGAGGGGGCUAGCGUUGUUCGGAAUUACUGGGCGUAAAGCGCACGUAGGCGGCUUUGUAAGUCAGAGGUGAAAUCCCGGGGCUCAGCUCCGGAACUGCCUUUGAGACUGCAUCGCUUGAAUCCAGGAGAGGUGAGUGGAAUUCCGAGUGUAGAGGUGAAAUUCGUAGAUAUUCGGAAGAACACCAGUGGCGAAGGCGGCUCACUGGACUGGUAUUGACGCUGAGGUGCGAAAGCGUGGGGAGCAAACAGG